AAUCUGUCAUGGAUAACCCAGUGGGAGGUCAGCCGCUAAGACGAUAACCUUGCUUCGGUUCUCCACACCAGCGGGACCGGUGCCUGGUACGAAUCCUGGGGUCGUCGUUGUACUCGUGCGAGUAAUCCACGAUCGCUACAACGCGCUAAGCAAUGGAGAUGAUUCUUGAGGGAAGCAAUUCUGCAGAGACAUCUCCACCCUGGGGUGGCGUCGCCAGAAUACACCGACCCGUUACAGGGAAAUUGGCUACUUGGCUGGACAACUACGUCUCUCUUCUUUUU
Aspergillus flavus NRRL3357 is the source of this 281-nucleotide non-coding RNA. Lineage: Eukaryota; Fungi; Ascomycota; Eurotiomycetes; Eurotiales; Aspergillaceae. The record is from Rfam.